UAGGGAGGGUGCAAGCGUUAUUCGGAUUUAUUGGGCGUAAAGGGCGUGUAGGUGGUCUGAUAAGUCAGGUGUGAAAGCCCCUGGCUCAACCAGGGAAGUGCACUUGAAACUAUCAGACUUGAGUACGGGAGGGGGAAGUGGAAUUCCUGGUGUAGAGGUGAAAUUCGUAGAUAUCAGGAGGAAUACCGGUGGCGAAGGCGACUUCCUGGACCGAUACUGACACUGAGACGCGACAGCGUGGGGAGCAAACAGG
This 253-nucleotide ribosomal RNA is filed under the name uncultured bacterium. Its description in RNAcentral is "partial 16S ribosomal RNA". It matches the Rfam family "Bacterial small subunit ribosomal RNA", at positions 524 to 776 of the family's 1533-position model. The record is from RNAcentral.